GAAAUGCCGGGAAGUGUGUGUGUGGGGGGAAGAAUGUGAUAUUAAAAUCUAAGUUAAUUUAGAUCAUGAUGUAAACUGAUCAUGCUUUAGGUAAAUCUUCACACUACAUAUUGGUAUUUAAAUUAUAAAGAUCUAUUAUACUUCUGUCAAUUUAGAGAGCCACAUUGAAAAAAAUGUUUAAAAUGUGAUUGUUUGAGCCCUGGCCAUGCUGCUCAGUUGGUUGGAGCAUCAUCCCAUACA
Phyllostomus discolor (pale spear-nosed bat) is the source of this 240-nucleotide long non-coding RNA. RefSeq lists it as uncharacterized. NCBI's taxonomy places the organism in Eukaryota, Metazoa, Chordata, Mammalia, Chiroptera, Phyllostomidae. The record is from RefSeq and is a predicted model, not a curated record. The transcript has 3 exons.